Molecule: ribosomal RNA, 593 nt
Filed under: uncultured organism
Description: bacterial SSU rRNA
Rfam family: Bacterial small subunit ribosomal RNA
Source: RNAcentral
UAGAGUUUGAUCCUGGCUCAGGAUGAACGCUGGCGGUCUGCUUAACACAUGCAAGUCGAACGCAACCUUCGGGUUGAGUGGCGGACGGGUGAGUAACGCGUGAGAAUCUGCCUUGGGGUCGGGGACAACCACUGGAAACGGUGGCUAAUACCGGAUAAGCCUUUGGGUAAAAAAUUUAUUGCCCCAAGAGGAGCUCGCGUCUGAUUAGCUAGUUGGUGAGGUAAAAGCUCACCAAGGCAGCGAUCAGUAGCUGGUCUGAGAGGACGAUCAGCCACACUGGGACUGAGACACGGCCCAGACUCCUACGGGAGGCAGCAGUGGGGAAUUUUCCGCAAUGGGCGAAAGCCUGACGGAGCAAGACCGCGUGAGGGAGGAAGGCUCUUGGGUUGUAAACCUCUUUUCUCAGGGAAGAAGCUCUGACGGUACCUGAGGAAUCAGCCUCGGCUAACUCCGUGCCAGCAGCCGCGGUAAUACGGAGGAGGCAAGCGUUAUCCGGAAUUAUUGGGCGUAAAGCGUCCGCAGGUGGCGAUUCAAGUCUGCUGUCAAAGCACGGGGCUUAACUCCGUUAAGCAGUGAGACUGAAUAGCUAGAGU